CGGUGCAAUGAGACUAGCCUCGUG
This 24-nucleotide non-coding RNA is filed under the name Mus musculus (house mouse). Lineage: Eukaryota; Metazoa; Chordata; Mammalia; Rodentia; Muridae. The record is from RNAcentral.